GCUUAACACAUGCAAGUCGAGGGGAAACGGCAUUGAGUGCUUGCACUCUUUGGACGUCGACCGGCGCACGGGUGAGUAACGCGUAUCCACCUUCCCAUUACUGUGGGAUAACCUGCCGAAAGGCAGACUAAUACCGCAUAGUCUUCGAUGACGGCAUCAGAUUUGAAGUAAAGAUUUAUCGGUAAUGGAUGGGGAUGCGUCUGAUUAGCUUGUUGGCGGGGUAACGGCCCACCAAGGCUACGAUCAGUAGGGGUUCUGAGAGGAAGGUCCCCCACAUUGGAACUGAGACACGGUCCAAACUCCUACGGGAGGCAGCAGUGAGGAAUAUUGGUCAAUGGACGGAAGUCUGAACCAGCCAAGUAGCGUGCAGGAUGACGGCCCUAUGGGUUGUAAACUGCUUUUGUAUGGGGAUAAAGUUAGGGACGUGUCCCCAUUUGCAGGUACCAUACGAAUAAGGACCGGCUAAUUCCGUGCCAGCAGCCGCGGUAAUACGGAAGGUCCAGGCGUUAUCCGGAUUUAUUGGGUUUAAAGGGAGCGUAGGCUGGAGAUUAAGUGUGUUGUG
RNAcentral lists this ribosomal RNA (562 nucleotides) under uncultured Prevotella sp. RNAcentral's name for it is "bacterial SSU rRNA". It matches the Rfam family "Bacterial small subunit ribosomal RNA", at positions 46 to 596 of the family's 1533-position model. Lineage: Bacteria; Pseudomonadati; Bacteroidota; Bacteroidia; Bacteroidales; Prevotellaceae. The record is from RNAcentral.